This 7520-nucleotide long non-coding RNA is filed under the name Carica papaya (papaya). Its description in RNAcentral is "long non-coding RNA (CPAP_LNC001233)". Lineage: Eukaryota; Viridiplantae; Streptophyta; Magnoliopsida; Brassicales; Caricaceae. The record is from RNAcentral.
UGUAAUGAUUGAAUUGCAAAAGGCUUGAUAAGUAUUAUGUUAUACAGUUCAUAUGAUUUCAUGAUGAUGAUAAUGUUAUUGUUUUCGUAUAUUGUUUUAUGAAUUUCACCGAGGUAAGUGGAUAGUAAAGGAUUUUAUUAUUGAUAAAAGAAUUUGUUGUAAACUAUGCUCCAUUGGUCUUUUUAUGUUUUCUACCCACCUUUACCUCCGUGACGGUGAGAUAGUGUGAUUUCUUUACUGGGCUGGUGUAGCUCAUUCCUUAUUUAAUCAUUUCAGAUCAGGAAGACAUUGUUCCCGAGCCCGUUCCGCAGGAAGACGGCGAAGGGGACGUCUGAAGACUCCGUAGUUAUAUUUAUAGCUUUUAUUUUCGAGUUUCUCUUUUAGUUAGUUUGUUCUUUUAUACUUUGAGCACGUUUUUGAUUUUGGUGUAAGGGAUGUUAAUCAAAAUUUUUAUUACGCUUCCGCAUUUGAUCUUUUUAAUACACAUAUUUCAUUUUAAAAUUUCGGGGCCGUUACAGUUGGUAUCAGAGCCGCGUUUCCUCGGACCCAUCCCUUACACAAUAGUGCCUUAGAGAAAUACUCACCGAUAGAUCGUUACUCAACCAUUCCUUGUGAAUGCAGGUACACGGAAAUGAGGAGAGGAAGGCCCCCACUAAACCGAGUGGCCCAAGAUAAUUCGCUUCGGGAGGAUUUGGAUAGACUAUUUGAGAUGGUGGAAGCUCUCGUAGCUGCCCAGCAAAGGCGAGAGGAGAGAAGGGAGUUACCCCGACCUCCUCCGCUAACGCAGGUUGAGCCCCCGCUACAGCAGGCUGAUCCCGAGCCACCCCGGCAGGAGCCUGCUCCUCCACAGUACCACCCGGCACCACAGCCGCGGUACGACCCGGUACCAUAGCCACGGUACCACCAGGCACCGCCACAACACAUUUCAGUACCCCCACCACAUCAGCAGGUGCCACCACAGGGCCCCCUAGUUCACCCUCAGCCGGCCCCAGUCCCUCUACCUCGGGACCCCGCUCCUUCCUUGAUCGACCCCAACUUCAUAGAGAGGUACAGAAGACUGAACCCUUCUACUUUUGCAGGGGGAUCCUCUUUUGAAGAGGCCCAAUACUGGCUGGCAGAGACUGAGAGAGCUUUCAAGACCUUGGGAGUAGUUCCUGAGUAGAGGGCUGCCAUUGCCUCCUACAUGCUGGUAGGGGAAGUAGUACGUUAGUGGGAGCUCAAGCGGACCACCCUGCCUACACCAGCUACUUGGGAGCAGUUCUUAGCGGCCUUCCACGCGGAGUAUCUCCCUAAACACAUCCGACACCUAAAGGAAAUGGAGUUUGCUCAAUUGGUCCAGGGAAACAUGACAGUGUCGGAGUAUGCCCGUAAGUUCCUGGAGCUGGGCCGAUAUGUCCUGGAGACAUUAAUGGAUGAGGGCCGAAAGGCCAGGAAAUUCCAGUGGGGUCUCCGCCUGGAGAUCAAACAACACUUACUGGUAAUGGAGCUCGAGACAUAUUCAGGAAUCCUAGCAAAGGCGCAGAUCAUAGAAAGGAGUUUCGACACCCACCCUCAGCUAGCGGGGAGUUCCCGAACCUCAGCCCCGCUCCGCAGGCCAGCACCUACCGCGCCUGUCCAACCCAGUAAGAGGCCCAGACCCGCCAUCCAGGCCCCUCCUCAGGCUACGGGGGCAGCACGUGGGAAGAUCUGCUAGCACUGCGGUAGGGAUCACGGGGACCGACCCUGCUACCGCCUCAGCAACACCUGUCGCAUAUGCGGCAGUGCCCAGCACUAUGCAAGGGAAUGUCCGAGGAACCAGAAUCAAAGAAGGCCUCCAAUCCAGGGCAGAGUUUACAACCUUACCCAGAAGGAUGCCAACGCAGACCCGGACGUGGUACAUGGUAUGUAUACUAUAUCUGGCUACAUUGCUCAUGUUUUGUUUGACACUGGUGCAUCACAUUCUUUUGUUUCACAUGUUCUUACUUCCAAAAUUUGUGUAUCACCUGAUAGACUUGAUUCAUUGUUGCUUGUAUCUACUGCUGGGGGGGAGACAUUGCUAGGAGAGGUUAUCUACAGGGCAUGUGCCGUGGAGAUAGCAGAUAGAAAACUGAGGGUAGACCUGAUAGGGUUAGACACGGGGGAUUUUGAUGUAAUCCUAGGAAUGGAUUGGCUAGCGGCGUAUCACGCCACCAUAGACUGCUUUAACAAAAGGGUUGUAUUUAAUCCUCCCAACGAGGAGCCAUUUACAAGUUAAUAAAAUCAUUCAGUACUGAUUUUCCCUGAUGGCAAGUUUUCUUAAUUCCUAGUGCCUUAAUCUUGUAUUUCCUCUAACUAGGUAAGCCCAAGAAGGAAGUUUGUAUCCAAGAGAUUCCAGUAGUCCGAGACUUUCCAGACGUAUUUUCGGAUGAACUGCCCGGUCUACCAGUGGACAGAGAGGUCGAGUUCACCAUAGACUUACAGCCAGGUACCCAGCCCAUCUCGGUUGCUCCUUACCGAAUGAGCCGCAUUGAGAUGGAAGAACUAAGGAAACAGAUCACUGAGUUACAAGACAGUGGUUUCAUUAGACACAACGUUUCCCCUUGGGGUGCCGGAGUUACUUUUGCAAGGAAGGGAGAUGGAACGUUGAGACUGUGCAUUGAUUACAGAGGGAUAAACAAGGUAACAAUUAAGAACAAAUAUCCUCUUCCCCGGAUUGAUGACCUUUUCGAUCAGUUGCAGGGUGCACAGGUCUUUUCUAAAAUAGAUCUACGAUCAGGUUACCAUCAGGUAAAGAUAAGAACAGAAGACAUCCCCAAGACGGCCUUCCGAACUAGGUACGGACACUAUGAGUUCCUGGUCAUGCCAUUCGGGCUAACCAAUGCCUCGACAAUCUUUAUGCAUCUGAUGAACAGAGUUUUCAGAGAGUUCUUGGAUCAGUUUGUCAUCAUGUUCAUCGAUGAUAUCUUAGUCUACUCAAAAAGCAGAGAAUAGCAUGCUCACCAUCUGGCCCAAGUUUUGCAGGUCCUUAGAAACAAGAGGCUAUAUGCGAAGUUGAGUAAGUGUGGAUUCUGGCUUGAGCAGACUACCUUCCUAGGACACAUCAUAUCGAAGGAAGGGGUAUCAGUGAAUCCUGAAAAGGUUGAAGCGGUACUUGGUUGGGAGAAACUGACAUCAGUUAAGGAAAUCCGUAGCUUCCUGGGAAUGGCAGGUUAUUACCGCAGGUUCGUUGAAGGAUUCUCCAGUCUAGCAGCUCCUCUAACCCGACUCACAAAGAAGAAUGCCAAGUUCGAGUGGAAUGAAGACUGCGAAAGAAGUUUUUCAGAAUUAAAGAAGCGGCUAACCACUGCACCCGUGCUAGCCUUACCGAGUAGAUCGGGAGGAUAUACAGUUUAUAGCGAUGCCUCCUAUCUGGGCCUGGGUUGUGUCCUGAUGCAGCAUGGAAAGGUUAUAGCAUAUGGGUCCAGACAGCUAAAGAAUCAUGAGAAUAACUAUCCUAUCCAUGACUUGGAGCUUGCCGCAAUCAUACACGCCUUGAAAACUUGGCGCCAUUAUUUGUACGGGGAGACUUUUCAGAUCUAUAUCGAUCACAAGUGUUUGAAACACAUAUUCAGUUAGAAGGAUCUCAACAUGCAUCAGAGAAGGUGGAUGGAACUCCUUAAGGACUAUGAUUGUGACAUCUUAUACCAUCCGGGUAAGGGCAAUGUGGUAGCAGAUACCCUUAGCAGGAAAAGUGCAGGUAUCUUAGCCUAUUUGAUGGUUUCAGAAUGCAGACCAAUUGGGGCCACACAACAGGUUCGACUUCAUGAUCUAAAGAGAGUCACAUGUUUGGGCCGCCUGGCAGUCCAGCCCGAGUUAAUUCAGAGGAUAAGGGAAGCCCAAACAGUUGACCCCGCCCUGGUAGCCCGCAAGAACGAUGCAGAACAGGGAGGGAGCUCAGAAUUCUGAAUAUCUGCCGAUGGACUACUUUGUUUCCAAAACAGGAUGUGUGUCCCAGAUGACAGUGAGUUAAAAAGGUACAUCAUGACAGAGUCCCAUGGCUCGAAGUUUGCAAUGCAUCCAGGAAGCACCAAAAUGUACCAAAGCAUGCGACCCCAGUUUUGGUGGCAUGGGAUGAAGAAAGACAUAACCGACUUUGUAUCUAAAUGUUUGGUAUGUCAGCAGGUCAAGGCAGAGCAUCAGCGCCCAGGUGGGUUACUUCAGCCUUUACCGAUCCCGGAAUAGAAGUGGGAACAUAUCACCAUGGACUUCGUAUCGGGGCUACCCAAGGCGCGUUCAGGACAUGAUGCCAUAUGGGUAAUCGUUGACCGACUUACCAAGUCUUCCCACUUCCUAGCCAUCAGGAUGACCAAUUCAUUGGACAAGUUGGCAAGGAUGUAUAUCCGGGAGAUAGUCAGAUUGCAUGGGGUUCUAGUAACAAUAGUGUCCGACAGGGAUCCCAAGUUCACCUCUCGGUUUUGGAGUAGCUUCCAGCAAGCUUUGGGAACAAAGCUGUCUCUUAGUACUGCCUUCCACCCCCAGACUGAUGGACAAUCAGAGAGGACAAUUCGUACGCUUGAGGAUAUGCUCCGAGCUUGUGUCCUUGACUCCGGGGGCCAUUGGGACGACCAUCUACCCCUGAUAGAGUUUGCCUAUAACAACAGCUAUCAAGCAAGUAUCGGCAUGGCUCCAUAUGAGGCGCUAUAUAGGCGCCCGUGCAGGUCACCAAUUUGUUGGAAGAAAGUGGGCGAUAGAAGAUUGUUCGGCCCGGAGUUGGUAGAGGAGACCACGUCCAAGAUAGUUAAAAUCAAGAAGAACAUUCAGACAGCUCAGAGCAGGCAGAAGAGUUAUGCAGAUAUCCGAAGGAGAGACCUUAGCGUUUGAGAAAGGCGACCGUGUGUUUCUUAAGGUCACUCCUUUCAAGGGAAUUAGUAGGUUCGGCAGGAGGAGAAAAUUAAACCCCCGAUAUAUUGGACCCUUUGAAAUCUUAGACAAGAUUGGUGCCGCUGCCUACAAACUAGCACUGCCUCCCGAGCUCUCCCGAGUUCACAAUGUGUUUCACGUAUCUAUGCUACGUAAGUACAACCCGGACCCUUCUCAUGUCUUGUCUCAUGAACCGCUUCCACUCCAAGAGAACUUGUCUUAUGAAGAAGUACCGGUCGGUAUCACGGACCGAGAGAGCAGAAUACUCCGCAACUGGGAAAUAUCAUUUAUAAAGGUCGUGUGGCAGAACCACAUGCCCAGGGAGGCUACUUGGGAACUGGAAUCAGAAUUUAGAGCCCAGUAUCCCCAUUUGUUUGACCAAGAGUAAGAGGCAAAUUUGGGGGACCAAAUUUCUUUCAGGGAGGAGAGUUGUAACGCCCGCUAAUUUUAUAAUUUUUGAAUUUUAAUUGAUUUAUUUAAUUUAGUUUAAUUUAAUAAAAAAUAAUAAUAAUAAUGAUAAAAUUGGGUAAAAAUAUUAUUUGGAUUUAAUUGAAAUUGAUUUUGGAAAAAAAGGGUGAAAAUUAGGAUUCUGGGGGUAUUUUUGAAAAGAAAAUCGGAAACCGGGGGUCAAAACGCAAUUUAGAAAAAUUGUGCCCCGUCAGGCCACGUCAACAGCCACGUCAGCGGCCCAGUCAGUAGCCCUGGCCAACCAGGACCUGUCGCGUGGCAAGACCAUGUCGACCCGGGAACGGACCAUGUGGGCGAUCCGCGUGCGAGCGAUCGGACGGCCCAGUUGCGUCCCCACGCGCCCGGACGGCCCUGAUCAAGCGUGCGCACAGACAGCCCAGAUGCACGCGCACGGAUGGCCCAGAUGCACGCGCACGGACGGCCCAGAUUCAAUCAAGUACGAAUGGCCCAGAUUUAAUCAAAAUAGACGGCUGUGAUUAAAAGGGAAAAAGGUAUAAAUAAAACCCCCACACCUGACAACAAAAACCCUAGCCGUCUGCCCUCGCCGAAGAAGACGAACUAGACGCCGGAGGAGCCGGCCACCACCACCCGCCGCCGCACCGGGGAGUUUUUCGACCGCCGAUCAAGGUAAAUUUCAUACCCCCAGCUCGUUUUUCAAUGCUGAGUUCCCCUGUGGCCAAAUCGGAGCUAAAAUCCCGGCCAAACGGCCGAAAAAUACGGUUGAAACCCAACGGCGCUGUCGCACCCCUCCUCGAUUUUUGCCUCCGAUGAGGCCCUUUCCGGCCUCUGUUUGAUAUAAUUUUUAUAUCACCGUGAUCACCAUUCUUUUCUCUAUAGGUUGAUUGGAGCCAAAUCACCAAAACACGAACCUCGCGGAGCCGCCGUGCCAGAAUUGCGAUAUUGGCCGAAAGGGGCCCUGGGUCUAAUUUUGGAUUUUUUUGGGACACGUGCAGGUACCAGUAGUGCGUUUCAGUUUCUCGGGAAAAAUUCAGGAAAAAUUAGAGACAGCCUGUAGGCGCACUGUAGAGCCGUAUUCGGACCCCGAAACAAGUAAGGAUCCCUCACCCUAUUUCCUAUCGUGGUAUUAAAGUUCAAUAAAUGAUAAAACGGUAUUUCAUGAAUCAAUAGAUGUGAGAAAUUGUUUAAGGUCGCUAAUGGUGCCCGAGUCUGGUGUGUUUGUCGGUCAGCUAUUGUUUGGCCUAUUUUACAGUUUUUAAAUGCAGUAUAAGGUCUGAUGUUUUCAUUUCAUAGUUUCGUGUGCAUAUAUCACUGUUUUAUUGAUUAUGGGUUGAAUGACUGAGAACCCGAUGUUGUAUGUUCUCUUGUUUGGCAUAAAUUACUAGUUUUCUUGUUUGUGUGUGAUUUGAUGAUGCUGACUGAGGAAAAAGGGGAAUGAAAUGUUAUGUAAAUUAAUAAUUGUAUAAUGUGGUCAGCCUGACUAGAUAUCCUGGGAGAUGGUGGACGGACUGGGUCCGUAGGGAACCCUACCGGGAUUGUGGUCUCUCAUACCGGACGGGGUAUGGAGACCUUAUGCGUCUUGGCGCCCAUAUCGGACGGGGUAUGGGGACGGCCCGUUUCACCCUCAUACCGGACGAGUUAUUGAGGUUUAUAGUUUUGGCGCCCAUACCAGACGGGGUAUGGGGACGGCCCUGGAAUCUGAUUGCAAGUGUUAAGGGUUCACGGGUAGCGGACCCCUAUGGAUCCCCAUGGAUACUAGUAGGCUGGUAAAUGAGGAAAAAAAAUAUGUUGUGUAAUGACUGAAUUGCAAAAAGCGUGAUAAGUAUUAUGUUAUAAAACUCAUAUUAUUUCAUGAUGAUGAUAAUGUUAUUGCUUUCAUGUAUUAUUUUAUGAAUUUCACCUAGGUAAGUGAAUAGUAAAGGAUUUUAUUAUUGAUAAAAGAAUUUGUUGUAAAUUAUGCUCCAUUGGUCUUCUUGUGUUUUCUACCCACCUUUACCUCCGUGACGGUGAGAUAGUGUGAUGUCUUUACUGGAUUGGUGUAGCUCAUUCUUUAUUUAAUCAUUUCAGAUCAGGAAGACAUUGUUCCCGAGCCCGUUCCGCAGGAAGACGGCGAAGGGGACGCCUGAAGACUCCGUAGUUAUAUUUAUAGCUUUUAUUUUCGAGUUUCUCUUUUAGUUAGUUUGUUCUUUUAUACUUUGAGCACGUUUUUGGUUUUGGUGUAAGGGAUGUUAAUCAAA